RNAcentral lists this ribosomal RNA (554 nucleotides) under Klebsiella quasipneumoniae. RNAcentral's name for it is "partial 23S ribosomal RNA". It matches the Rfam family "Bacterial large subunit ribosomal RNA", at positions 1 to 585 of the family's 2925-position model. Lineage: Bacteria; Pseudomonadati; Pseudomonadota; Gammaproteobacteria; Enterobacterales; Enterobacteriaceae. The record is from RNAcentral.
GGGUUGUGAGGUUAAGCGACUAAGCGUACACGGUGGAUGCCCUGGCAGUCAGAGGCGAUGAAGGACGUGCUAAUCUGCGAAAAGCGUCGGUAAGGUGAUAUGAACCGUUAUAACCGGCGAUGUCCGAAUGGGGAAACCCAGUGCAAUUCGUUGCACUAUCGUUAACUGAAUACAUAGGUUAACGAGGCGAACCGGGGGAACUGAAACAUCUAAGUACCCCGAGGAAAAGAAAUCAACCGAGAUUCCCCCAGUAGCGGCGAGCGAACGGGGAGCAGCCCAGAGUCUGAAUCAGCUUGUGUGUUAGUGGAACGGUCUGGAAAGUCCGACGGUACAGGGUGAUAGUCCCGUACACCAAAAUGCACAGGCUGUGAACUCGAAGAGUAGGGCGGGACACGUGGUAUCCUGUCUGAAUAUGGGGGGACCAUCCUCCAAGGCUAAAUACUCCUGACUGACCGAUAGUGAACCAGUACCGUGAGGGAAAGGCGAAAAGAACCCCGGCGAGGGGAGUGAAAAAGAACCUGAAACCGUGUACGUACAAGCAGUGGGAGCACCUU